UCUCCCCGAAAGCUAUUUAGGUAGCGCCUCGUGAACUCAUCUUCGGGGGUAGAGCACUGUUUCGGCUAGGGGGCCAUCCCGGCUUACCAAACCGAUGCAAACUCCGAAUACCGAAGAAUGUUAUCACGGGAGACACCACGGCGGGUGCUAACGUCCGUCGUGAAGAGGGAAACAACCCAGACCGCCAGCUAAGGUCCCAAAGUCAUGGUUAAGUGGGAAACGAUGUGGGAAGGCAUAGACAGCCAGGAUGUUGGCUUAGAAGCAGCCAUCAUUUAAAGAAAGCGUAAUAGCUCACUGGUCGAGUCGGCCUGCGCGGAAGAUGUAACGGGGCUAAACCAUGCACCGAAGCUGCGGCAGCGACGCUUAGGCGUUGUUGGGUAGGGGAGCGUUCUGUAAGCCGUUGAAGGUGGCCUGUGAGGGUUGCUGGAGGUAUCAGAAGUGCGAAUGCUGACAUAAGUAACGAUAAAGCGGGUGAAAAGCCCGCUCGCCGGAAGACCAAGGGUUCCUGUCCAACGUUAAUCGGGGCAGGGUGAGUCGACCCUAAGGCGAGGCUGAAAAGCGUAGUCGAUGGGAAACAGGUUAAUAUUCCUGUACUUGGUGUUACUGCGAAGGGGGGACGGAGAAGGCUAGGCUAGCCGGGCGACGGUUGUCCCGGUUUAAGCGUGUAGGGGGUGUGACCUGGUAAAUCCGGUUGCAUAUCAACCCUGAGGCGUGAUGACGAUGCACUACGGUGCAGAAGUAGUUGAUGCCCUGCUUCCAGGAAAAGCCUCUAAGCUCCAGGUAACAUUGAAUCGUACCCCAAACCGACACAGGUGGUCAGGUAGAGAAUACCAAGGCGCUUGAGAGAACUCGGGUGAAGGAACUAGGCAAAAUGGUGCCGUAACUUCGGGAGAAGGCACGCUGGCAUGUAGGUGAAGUCCCUUGCGGAUGGAGCUGAAGCCAGUCGAAGAUACCAGCUGGCUGCAACUGUUUAAUAAAAACACAGCACUGUGCAAACACGAAAGUGGACGUAUACGGUGUGACGCCUGCCCGGUGCUGGAAGGUUAAUUGAUGGGGUCAGCCGCAAGGCGAAGCUCUUGAUCGAAGCCCCAGUAAACGGCGGCCGUAACUAUAACGGUCCUAAGGUAGCGAAAUUCCUUGUCGGGUAAGUUCCGACCUGCACGAAUGGCGUAAUGAUGGCCAGGCUGUCUCCACCCGAGACUCAGUGAAAUUGAACUCGCUGUGAAGAUGCAGUGUACCCGCGGCAAGACGGAAAGACCCCGUGAACCUUUACUAUAGCUUGACACUGAACAUUGAGCCUUGAUGUGUAGGAUAGGUGGGAGGCUUUGAAGCGUGGACGCCAGUCUGCGUGGAGCCAUCCUUGAAAUACCACCCUUUAAUGUUUGAUGUUCUAACUCGGCCCGUGAUCCGGGGUGAGGACAGUGUCUGGUGGGUAGUUUGACUGGGGCGGUCUCCUCCCAAAGAGUAACGGAGGAGCACGAAGGUUAGCUAAUCACGGUCGGACAUCGUGAGGUUAGUGCAAAGGCAUAAGCUAGCUUGACUGCGAGAGUGACGGCUCGAGCAGGUACGAAAGUAGGUCUUAGUGAUCCGGUGGUUCUGAAUGGAAGGGCCAUCGCUCAACGGAUAAAAGGUACUCCGGGGAUAACAGGCUGAUACCGCCCAAGAGUUCAUAUCGACGGCGGUGUUUGGCACCUCGAUGUCGGCUCAUCACAUCCUGGGGCUGAAGUAGGUCCCAAGGGUAUGGCUGUUCGCCAUUUAAAGUGGUACGCGAGCUGGGUUUAGAACGUCGUGAGACAGUUCGGUCCCUAUCUGCCGUGGGCGUUGGAAGAUUGAGAGGGGUUGCUCCUAGUACGAGAGGACCGGAGUGAACGCACCACUGGUGUUCGGGUUGUCAUGCCAAUGGCAUUGCCCGGUAGCUAAGUGCGGAAAAGAUAAGCGCUGAAAGCAUCUAAGCGCGAAACUUGCCUCAAGAUGAGUCUUCCCUGGGCCUUCAAGGCCCCUGAAGGAACGUUUAAGACUAAGACGUUGAUAGGCUGGGUGUGUAAGUGCAGCGAUGCAUUGAGCUAACCAGUACUAAUGAUCCGUGAGGCUUAACCUUACAACACCGAAGGUGUUU
This 2116-nucleotide ribosomal RNA is filed under the name Serratia marcescens. RNAcentral describes it as "bacterial LSU rRNA". It matches the Rfam family "Bacterial large subunit ribosomal RNA", at positions 853 to 2925 of the family's 2925-position model. Lineage: Bacteria; Pseudomonadati; Pseudomonadota; Gammaproteobacteria; Enterobacterales; Yersiniaceae. The record is from RNAcentral.